CUCGAUCCCCAAUCCCACCCUUUUCUCUCGCUACCCUGAAAUAGAGUGCGCCGCUCGCCCCGACCUAAACCUAAUCCAGUGCGCCUCCUCCCCAACCUGCACGCCGCCGCCCGUCCCUUGACCCCCGCCCCCUCGCGCCACACGCCUCCCAUCAUCCGCUCAGGAGCAGCAGCGCCUUCCGCCGCGUAGAGGAGCAGCCGCGCCAUCCGCCGUGCCGAGUAGUAGCACCUACCACUGGGAAGGAGAAGCAACAAGGUCAACAAGGCCCACCGUCCGUCGAUGAUGAGAAGCAGCGCCGUCGCUUCUGAGGAGCCGCCGGCCGUUCUUCUUCCUCCACCGACGACACGUGUACCUCCAGAUCUCAACAAGUAAGCCGCAAAUCUUCCCGCUGCCCGCCCUUGUUCUCUCUCCAUUAUUGGCAACGAGGUCAAAUUACGGUUUUGAAAUUAGAUAAUACAGGAGAUUAAUCGAAGGGGAAAAGGAACAUAUGACCACCAGCUAGCAUAAGGAUUUCAUUUUCGGUGGUUUGAGGCAAGAUCCGCUCUUCCCUGCCAUGGAUUUUGAUGGAUAGCAGGUUCUGUUUGAAAGGAGAAGAGAUAAUGCAGGGAAGAAGAAGUCACUCAGUUUACUAGCCACUACUGACAUUGAUAUUAUGACCUUCCCAGGUUUAAGGGGCAUGGCAUGUUGGCACCAUUCGCUGUUGUAUGGCAGAGCAAUGAUGUGCAUCCAUUGGUUAUUGAGAGAUUUGAGGUUGCAACUCUCGAAUUAUAGCAUUAUAUAUGUUUACUUCUCAUGCAAUGCAGCGUUUGAUAUUGGAAAUGGCAGCUAAGACGUUCAUUACAGUAUGCUACGGUUGUAAACAAUGUAUCUAUGUUUUGCUUAUACAAUGUUAACCUAUAUAUGCAGGGUUCUUAUGUUUAUGACAUCAAUGGGAAUAAAUAUCCAGAUUCUCUAGUAGGACUGUGGUAUACAACUUUAGGUAUGUAAAGUACAAUCUUUGGAGUGUGAUUUUUGUGAUUAUGUACCAAAGAAUUGUUCAUUCUUUGGGAUAAUACCGCGCAUCACCAUUUUGUUUUUGCAUUUAAAAUUAAUGUAUAAAGUCUAAUUUGUAUUCUUUGAAGUACGUCUCUUAUUGACUAUUGAUUUGUGACCCCAAAUCUUUCCCUAAUAAUAAAGCACGGAUUGACUCCUUGGGUUCACAGUCACAAUACACUACUUCCCGUGAUUUUACGCUUUUAGUUUUUUUUCAUCUAUAUCAUUUUCUACAUCCGAGGUGGUACUAUUUUACGUGCGUAUCUUUACCUAAUAAUUAAGGACAGUAAUUUGGGCUGAGCCUUCCUUUCCUAAUAAAAAACAGAAACAUGAUGUGUGGCUGCACUAGGCCUGGUCUCCUUUCCUAUUUUUUCAUCGAUCUCCUUCUUCCAUGAUGAUUCUUUUCGGUAACCCUAAACCCUGCCGAUCAACCCGGUCUCCCACCUGAAAUCGAGUGCUUCACGACUCGGUCUCUCGCCCGUAGUCGAACUCCCUUUCCGUCGAGACGUUUCGUCUAGCUCCUCCCAUAAAUAGGUUGCCCGAGAGAACAUAACAGACGGAGCUGCCGGAUGAGCAAUGUAAACCAAGAAUGAUCUCACAGGCAAUUCAUCCGGGUGUGUGCCCUUGCCGAGGCCACAGCCGAGGCCAAGCCAACAGGCCCACAUCGUCGGGAGGUUUCUCGCAUUUGGAUUGGCUGCACCGGCAAGGUCAUCUAUAGUACGAUAGUUGACAACAAUGAGGAGAUCUUCAGGCUUCACCAUCUCCGAUACGGCGUUCACGUGGCCGUUAGCGGCGGAAGAUCCCUUGCUCAGCUAGAAAGGCACGCCAUCGUCAUGGUCGUUGAUAGCGUAUAGCGCAUGGGCUCAUCGACGUGAUGGCGGUGCCCGUUCCAGGGUGCUCUUGACGUCUUAGGAUGCCGAGCACGGCGGAGUGGACAGCCGGCCAUGGGUGCUGGCGGAAGGAGGAAUUGUCACCAUGUGUCAAUGGCUGCGGGGGAGGGUUCCUCAUAUACGGUCGCCCCCGCUCCAUCUCCAGAUAGCCGCAGCAGGAAUAGCACACUCCCUUGGACGAGGACGACAAGAAGCGGCAGAAGCGGCUGGCUGGAUGGAAGCCGUGCAGGCGGGCGGGCGGACGGCUCGGCUGAGGUGGCCGCAGCGGCCAGGGAUUAGGGAGGCGGCAACUCACUGCCUUAAAGUAAGAAGGAGGCCGACUUGGUACACGCACGUGUCCUCCGAGAAAAGAUAAGCAUCCAGAUCUCGUGCAGUUUAUUCCAUUGCUAAUGCUUGUCGGUCUAAUUUGUGGUUUUCCUGCUUAAUGGCGCUCAACUUGGUCGACGUUCCGGCCUUAGCUUCCCAUCCAUGCGGUCCAGUGGUGCCCGUUCCUCUGCUGUUUUGUUGCGAGGGCGUAGCUAGCUUCGAACGACGAGGCGUACAAGUGGGCCCUACAGGAUGACGACGAGCGCGAGGUCGCCGGGCGGCUCCUGACCCUCACUGAGAUCAUUGGUUGGGAAGAGAUGAGCAUGAUGUUGAAGAUGACGAAGGCGAGGAAGAUGGGGAUAGCGUGCAGUUGACAGUUCCAUCACAAUCAUUGUUUGUUGAUUUAUGUGUAUGCUUGGGCAAUUAUGCAGCUUUUACAUGAAGAUUAUAACCCUUCUAUUUUAUUCAGGUAUUGUCUUUUAUUCUAGAAUGCUUACACAGAAAAGAUUGCAGAGCUGUGAUUAAUUUGACUAAUCAGGAACAACGGCUCGAUAGUCUGGAUGGUGCCUUUUGAUUGUAUCCAGCAGUGACCACUUUUGCUUGUGGACUUUGGAAUGAAUCUGAUCUUUAACAACAGUGAGCAACUUGCAGUAUGGGGUUUCGGCAUUCUCUUGGCCACCUGAAUGGCUUGCAGAAGCUGUGCGGGCGAAGCUGACAGUUUGAGAUGGUCAUGUAUGAAAAUGAAUUUCACAGAUUCAACUUUGUGCCGGCAACUGUCAGCUUUCUCCUGCCAGUUGGUGUGGCAGGCGGAUCAGAUUAGAAGACUAGACGUGUGCAGCAGCUGGUCCUGUGAUGUAAAAUAAUAAUUCAAAUCGCCUAUGAGAUGUAUCCUAACAAUCCUGAAGAUCUCGGUGCCAACUCUAUAAUUCAAAUAAUAAUUCAGGGCCCCGUUUGAUAACAAAGUAUUUUUAAAGUAUUCUGGAAAUACUACAUUUUUUUAUGUUA
This is an RNA transcript of Triticum dicoccoides, 3233 nucleotides long. It is a transcript of the gene named gamma-aminobutyrate transaminase 1, mitochondrial-like, with no coding region annotated. The transcript has 2 exons. The record is from RefSeq and is a predicted model, not a curated record. Lineage: Eukaryota; Viridiplantae; Streptophyta; Magnoliopsida; Poales; Poaceae.